CCUACGGGUGGCAGCAGUGGGGAAUAUUGCACAAUGGGGGAAACCCUGAUGCAGCGACGCCGCGUGAGUGAAGAAGUAUUUCGGUACGUAAAGCUCUAUCAGCAGGGAAGAAAAUGACGGUACCUGACUAAGAAGCCCCGGCUAACUACGUGCCAGCAGCCGCGGUAAUACGUAGGGGGCAAGCGUUAUCCGGAUUUACUGGGUGUAAAGGGAGCGUUGACGGCAGCGUAAGUCUGGAGUGAAAUCCCAUGGCUUAACCAGGGAACUGAUUUGGAAACGGUGCAGCUGGAGUGCAGGGGAGGUAAGCGGAAUUCCGGGUGAGGCGGUGAAAGGGGUGGAUAUGAGGGGGAACACCAGUGGCGAAGGCGGCUUACUGGACUGUAACGGACGUUGAGGCUCGAAAGCGUGGGGAGCAAACAGGAUUAGAUACCCGGUAGUC
RNAcentral lists this ribosomal RNA (439 nucleotides) under uncultured bacterium. Its description in RNAcentral is "partial 16S ribosomal RNA". It matches the Rfam family "Bacterial small subunit ribosomal RNA", at positions 338 to 795 of the family's 1533-position model. The record is from RNAcentral.